RNAcentral lists this ribosomal RNA (451 nucleotides) under bacterium YSB2004. RNAcentral's name for it is "bacterial SSU rRNA". It matches the Rfam family "Bacterial small subunit ribosomal RNA", at positions 28 to 459 of the family's 1533-position model. The record is from RNAcentral.
GAUGAACGCUGGCGGCGUGCCUAACACAUGCAAGUCGAACGGAGAUUUAACGCUGAUGAAGCUUCGGCAGAUUCUUGUUAAAUCUUAGUGGCGGACGGGUGAGUAACGCGUGGGCAACCUGCCUCAUACUGGGGGAUAACAGCUGGAAACGACUGUUAAUACCGCAUAAGCGCACGGUAUCGCAUGAUACAGUGUGAAAAACUCCGGUGGUAUGAGAUGGGCCCGCGUCAGAUUAGCCAGUUGGCAGGGUAACGGCCUACCAAAGCGACGAUCUGUAGCCGGCCUGAGAGGGCGGACGGCCACAUUGGGACUGAGACACGGCCCAAACUCCUACGGGAGGCAGCAGUGGGGGAUAUUGCACGAAUGGAGGAAACUCUGAUGCAGCGACGCCGCGUGAGUGAAGAAGUAUUUCGGUAUGUAAAGCUCUUCAGCAGGGAAGAAAGACUCGCAG